AAUAGAUACCCGGGUGGUCCUUGCCGUAAACGGUGCAUACUUGGUGUAGUUGGACUCAACCCCGGACUGUGCCGAAGCUAACGCGUUAAGUAUGCCGCCUGGGAAGUACGCUCGCAAGGGUGAAACUCAAAAGAAUUGACGGGGGACCCGCACAAGCAGUGGAGCAUGUGGUUUAAUUCGAUGCAACGCGAAGAACCUUACCUAGGCUUGACAUAUAGAUGACGAUAUCAGAGAUGAUAUUUCUCUUCGGAGCGUCUAUACAGGUGCUGCAUGGCUGUCGUCAGCUCGUGCCGUGAGGUGUUGGGUUAAGUCCCGCAACGAGCGCAACCCUUAUCAUUAGUUGCCAACAGUUCGGCUGGGGGACUCUAAUGAGACUGCCUGGGGUUAACCAGGAGGAAGGUGAGGAUGACGUCAAGUCCGCAUGGCCCUUAUGUCUAGGGCUACACACGUGCUACAAUGGCCGGUACAGAAGGCAGCGAAACCGUGAGGUGUAGCAAAUCCUAUAAAGCCGGUCCCAGUUCGGAUUGU
Molecule: ribosomal RNA, 528 nt
Filed under: uncultured bacterium
Lineage: Bacteria
Description: bacterial SSU rRNA
Rfam family: Bacterial small subunit ribosomal RNA
Source: RNAcentral